Molecule: long non-coding RNA, 1575 nt
Filed under: Homo sapiens (human)
Lineage: Eukaryota; Metazoa; Chordata; Mammalia; Primates; Hominidae
Description: HSALNT0243077
Source: RNAcentral
UCCUCCUCACUUGCCGAAACAGCCGGUCCCGGAGCUCAUCCACUAACAUGGCAUCCUGACGGUUCAGCUUGGCAGGGGUGGCCAUGAGGCCCCGGAGGAUGGGGUCGAUGCCCCCUGGUGGCAGGGAAUGUGAGCAGCACAGAUUGGACCAGCCUCUGGGAAGCUACUUGGGUUAUCACAUGAUGCCAAGCUAGCCCAGAGCUGGACAAGCCAGUCGGGUAUGUUAGUAACGUUUGUCAGGAAACAGAGUUCUGGAGAGACAUGAAGCAGCUGGAGCUGGGAGGUACUUCUUAAGGAAUGGAAGGUACUGUUCAGGAGCUGGGAGGAUUUAAAAAUGAAUAAUGCAUGGCGCCUGCCCUCAAGAAGCUCUCAUUCCAGUUAAAGAGAAAAGCAGAAACACACAUGAAGUAGUAGCCUUGGAAAUGAAUUCACUACCCUAGAUUUGGAACACUGGAUUUUUGAAAGAUGCUGGACACAAGUCACCAAUGUUCUUGUGCUAGAAGAAGAAUUCGUGUCCUAAAGAGCAAUGGUGGUGUUUCAGGACCAUGGACAGUAGCACAUGGCUACAGACACCUAAAAAAGCUCCCAACGCUCACCUCACCCUGCAAGUUCCUCCAGAAGGGCCCGUCAAGGCUGGCAGUGGACACCUUGCAGGUUAAAUCCAUGGUCUUCCUCCAAGUCGGGCUUAGAAAACUCCUCCCCACAAAAUAUCACAUAGUAGGCACUGAAUAAAUUUUUGUUCAAUUAAUUAACAAAUUUAUUACAGCAAAGGGUUGCACUUAUGUGCUCAAUUCACCCAACAAAUAUUUAUUUAAGCCCCUAUUGUGUGACAUGCAUGAACCUUUCAGACAGGAUGUUUUGUGACUGAGGUCCCUGUUUCAUGGUGUGUAGCUGGUGUCUUAUGAGUAUGACAGUAGGCGCUACAUAGGGCUGCUUCCUGCCUGCAUCUCUGGUAGAAAGUAAAGUCUAAUACAAUUUUUCCUGUUUUCUUCUGUUAAAAUUCUGGACCACUUGUUUGUCCAUCAACACUUCUUCUUCUCUUCUGAUUUCUGUCACUCUCCCUAGAGUCUAAGACAUCAGAGAAUGCAAAUAAGGUCUUUCUCCCUCGUCUUCAUUCCCAGCCCUACAGCACCAUCUCAGAUUUUGUACUGUGCAACCAAAUCUUUCCCCACUCCUACUCCCAUUUCCAUCACUCUCCCUAGAGCCUAAGACAUCAGAGAAUGCAAAUAAGGUCUUUCUUCCCCUGUCUUCAUUCCCAGCCCUACGGCACCUAACGUUUCAGAUUUUGUACUGUGCAACCAAAUCUUUUCCCACUCCUACUCCCACUCCCAUCCCUAUUCCUUAAACAAGUACAAAUGUCUUAAAGGAAAAACACCUGCUUUUUGUCAUUGUCUCUUCUGAAGUACCUAGCAUAGAGCCUGGCUUGUAGUUGUGUGUCAGUAAAUAAAUGACUCAAUCAAUAAGAAUAAAAGCCCCAUGAGGAUGGGGACUUUUGACUGUUUUAUAAUAUGUUAGACAUUCGAUAAAUAUAUGUUCAAUUAACUGAUUAAUAAAUUAACAUAUUUAUCUGUGAUA